RNAcentral lists this ribosomal RNA (301 nucleotides) under uncultured bacterium. Its description in RNAcentral is "partial 16S ribosomal RNA". It matches the Rfam family "Bacterial small subunit ribosomal RNA", at positions 509 to 808 of the family's 1533-position model. The record is from RNAcentral.
CAGUCGCCACGGUAAUACGUAGGUCCCGAGCGUUGUCCGGAUUUAUUGGGCGUAAAGGGAGCGCAGGCGGUUUAGUAAGUCUGAAGUUAAAGGCAUUGGCUCAACCAAUGUAUGCUUUGGAAACUGUUAGACUUGAGUGCAGAAGGGGAGAGUGGAAUUCCAUGUGUAGCGGUGAAAUGCGUAGAUAUAUGGAGGAACACCGGUGGCGAAAGCGGCUCUCUGGUCUGUCACUGACGCUGAGGCUCGAAAGCGUGGGGAGCAAACAGGAUUAGAUACCCGAGUAGUCCCUGUCUCUUAUACA